ACUGAGGACUCGCUCGCCUGUCCAUGCCGCAAUUUCACUGAUCUUCCCUACGUGAUCUAAUAGUCGACAAGGUAGGGAAGAGAAAUGCUCCUCUCUUCGCGGCCAUCAACGAUACAGGGUUCCGCAGCACCAGCUGGUUACCGUUCGAGGGAUAUGCUUCCAGAGGCUGCUCCCGGCUGUUCUGUCUGCAUGAGCAUCGGGUGUUGGACCCGGACUUGAGACAUCGCAACGGUUGUUUCGACUGGAGAACGUGUCGUCGUUUUGCACGGAGGGACCGUAGACGGAAUGAAACUUAUAUGUCACUUCUCGAAACUGGACUUCUCUCGGGGUUCUUGUUUCCUUGCGGACAGCGUUGCUUUCCGCGGAUCCUCUGUUACGUGGAACAGCGCGCGCUUGCGCACGUAGCGCAAAACGUACUCCUCGAGGGUAUCGUGCAGCAGAAGCCCGUCAUCGCAGGGUUCGGCAGUGGCCGGAGACACAGAAGAAGGCAUCGAGCGGAGCGCACUGUACCGGUCCCGUACCGGGCGAUGCGGCGUGCCUUCAACUGACGCAGGAUGGCGCUCGGAGGUCAUGUGAUGGUCGUUUGGGAACAGCUGAACACAGUCAAGGACCGCGGCGCUGAAGGGCGCACUUUUGCUUUAUCUAAAGAAGAUGAAAAUGGCAGGCGAAGCGUAGAUUACAGCUUCCGGCCGUGCAUGUAGUACUUUGACAAGAGCCGGAGGCGGCGAGAUCGGGACUAGGAAGUUGCCUUCAACACACUUCGACUGCUGACGAUUGAUCAGGAAAGACAGUAGAGCCCAGCUCAUUUUAAAGUCGAAGAGAGGAGAGAGGAAAAGGAAGCGGUCACAGAAAAAGCCCGCAAAGGCUGAUGUUGCUCAUAGUGGGAAUAUACCUUAUCGUUAGCAUAUGUACCCGAGUAAGGCAUAUGGAACAGUCCCAUAUUAUUCUGAUAUGAAUGUGGACGUGAUGGCCAGCUACCAAACACAUACCGACGCGGACCUGCUGCGCAGAGCUCGCUUGAUGCCUAUCGUGCUCGAACUUGUGGCUUGCUCGGGCUCGGAUAGGGCCUUCAGAUCCUACGCUACCCAUGGCUAGGUCGCGCCGAGGAACAAGGACAUUUUCAUGAGCGCCCCAGGUGGAGCGAAUAGAUUCUUUCGCCCGGAGACUCAACGAGGAUUUGCAAAGAGUUCUUUCUGUUCUUAAGUUUUAGAGCGCUUACCGGAACCUUGAUUUUACAAACGUAGUAUACCAAGUCAGUGCUACUCAAUGCUCUGUACGGCAUAGUUGCAGCAUGUGGACAGAGACAUGAUGGUGGCGCGUCCACAAGGCGCGACCCGACACCACUUGCGAGGUCAUGGCGAGGCUGUUCCGUGCUGCGCGCCUUCAAACUAGGAACCGCGACCCUGGGGCGACAGACAGCGCGCUUCCAGAUCGUGUUGGUGGAUACUUAGCCUUCUACGCGUGGAAAGAGAAGAGCGGCUUGUUAAAUUACGAGCCCGUGUUCUCUAGGCAGAGCCGACGGAACAGAACUCCGCACAGGAUGCAUCCGCAUGUACACGCAUUUGUUUCCAGGAGACAAACGAGCACUGCUGGAGCUGUUCAAGUGUUCGGUUUUGACACAGAAAGGAAUGCACCACCGGCGAGAAAGCUAAUAGAAGCGGGCUGCUGCUUCCGAUUACUUCGACGUUCCAAGCCCCGCUCGAUGCAACGUCAAAAACCUCCAGCCAGAAUCAUUCGCGCGGAAAACAAUAGUUACAUGCGUAUUCUGUGAUUUCCUGUAUCCUCCGAUUUGGAAUGCGUAUCGUCUGCGACGAGACAUGACCGUAUCGUCUGCGACAGUUUAAGCUGGCCCAGGACGGGUCACAAAUGCAAACCUGUGGCUCUAUCCCAUCAAGUGCCUUCCCUUCGUCACUAUUCAGUCAAUAUAACGCCUCAGGUGCUCAAGACUGUCGGCCUCCGACGCUUCCGCCGCUGCAAAUAUCUCAUCAAGGCUGUCUACUGAAUGGCUUCGCGGCAUGGUCUCUGCGGGCUCUUCUUCCCGAGUCCGCUGCGGUGCAGCGCGAUCAGGAGGCGAGGUCGAAAAAACGUUAGGGGCGGCGCUCCAUUCGGAGGUGCGCGAGCGUGUCGCCUCUAACGCGUGAUACAGAGAAGGAGC
RNA transcript from Cyanidioschyzon merolae strain 10D, 2155 nucleotides. RefSeq lists it as hypothetical. Lineage: Eukaryota; Rhodophyta; Bangiophyceae; Cyanidiales; Cyanidiaceae. The transcript has a single exon. The record is from RefSeq and is a predicted model, not a curated record.